GGCGAGCACUCUAGACGAACUGCCGUUGCAAACGGAGGAAGUGGGGAUGACGUCAAAUCAUCAUGCCCCUUAUGUUCUGGGCUACACACGUGCUACAAUGGCCGGUACAGACGGACGCAAAGCCGCGAGGUGGAGCAAAUCCUAAAAAGCCGGUCUCAGUUCGGAUUGCAGGCUGCAAUUCGCCUGCAUGAAGUCGGAAUCGCUAGUAAUCGCAGGUCAGCAUACUGCGGUGAAUACGUUCCCGGGCCUU
Molecule: ribosomal RNA, 250 nt
Filed under: uncultured Bacillus sp.
Lineage: Bacteria; Bacillati; Bacillota; Bacilli; Caryophanales; Bacillaceae
Description: partial 16S ribosomal RNA
Rfam family: Bacterial small subunit ribosomal RNA
Source: RNAcentral